UCUAUCCACAAGUUGGCACCCCUUUUGAUCUCAUCCAUUUGGAGUGUCCCAUCUAAUCUCUCUCGAAUAUUUCAUGUAGAAAAAUGGGGCACCAAUAGUUGGCACCCCCAUCCCAAUUCUUACAUGAUGGAAGGCUUCAGGGACUCCAACUCUUGUUGUCCUAAUGAGCUUGCUUAGAUUUGGUUAGACCCUACCUAAUAGGAAAUCAAAAUUAAGUAGGAGAGAAUGGGUUUAACCAUGUGCUAGC
This 247-nucleotide long non-coding RNA is filed under the name Elaeis guineensis (African oil palm). RNAcentral's name for it is "long non-coding RNA (EGUI_LNC054506)". The record is from RNAcentral. Lineage: Eukaryota; Viridiplantae; Streptophyta; Magnoliopsida; Arecales; Arecaceae.